CCUACGGGUGGCAGCAGUGAGGAAUAUUGGUCAAUGGGCGCGAGCCUGAACCAGCCAAGUCGCGUGAGGGAAGACGGUCCUAUGGAUCGUAAACCUCUUUUGUCGGGGAGCAAAAGACGCCACGCGUGGCGUGCCGAGAGUACCCGAAGAAAAAGCAUCGGCUAACUCCGUGCCAGCAGCCGCGGUAAUACGGAGGAUGCGAGCGUUAUCCGGAUUUAUUGGGUUUAAAGGGUGCGCAGGCGGAAGAUCAAGUCAGUGGUAAAAUUGAGAGGCUCAACCUCUUCGAGCCGUUGAAACUGGGUUUCUUGAGUUAGCGAGAAGUAUGCGGAAUGCGUGGUGUAGCGGUGAAAUGCAUAGAUAUCACGCAGAACUCCGAUUGCGAAGGCAGCAUACCGGCGCUCAACUGACGCUCAUGCACGAAAGUGUGGGUAUCGAACAGGAUUAGAUACCCUGGUAGUC
This 459-nucleotide ribosomal RNA is filed under the name uncultured bacterium. RNAcentral describes it as "partial 16S ribosomal RNA". It matches the Rfam family "Bacterial small subunit ribosomal RNA", at positions 338 to 795 of the family's 1533-position model. The record is from RNAcentral.